RNAcentral lists this ribosomal RNA (508 nucleotides) under uncultured bacterium. RNAcentral describes it as "bacterial SSU rRNA". It matches the Rfam family "Bacterial small subunit ribosomal RNA", at positions 8 to 518 of the family's 1533-position model. The record is from RNAcentral.
AGAGUUUGAUUAUGGCUCAGGAUGAACGCUGGCGGCGUGCUUAACACAUGCAAGUCGAACGGAGUUUUAAGCGGAAGUUUUCGGAUGGAAGUUUAGAACUUAGUGGCGGACGGGUGAGUAACGCGUGGGUAACCUGCCUCAUACAGGGGGAUAACAGUUAGAAAUGACUGCUAAGACCGCAUAAUAUAGCGAAACCGCAUGAUUUUGCUAUCAAAUAUUUAUAGGUAUGAGAUGGGCCCGCGUCUGAUUAGCUAGUUGGUGGGGUAAAGCCUACCAAGGCGACGAUCAGUAGCCGGCUUGAGAGAGUGACCGGCCACAUUGGGACUGAGACACGGCCCAAACUCCUACGGGAGGCAGCAGUGGGGAAUAUUGGACAAUGGGGGAAACCCUGAUCCAGCGAACCGCCGCGUGAGUGAAGAAGUAUUUCGGUAUGUAAAGCUCUAUCAGCAGGGAAGAUAAUGACAGUACCUGACUAAGAAGCCCCGGCUAACUACGUGCCAGCCGCUGC